This is a long non-coding RNA of Ochotona curzoniae (black-lipped pika), 807 nucleotides long. RefSeq lists it as uncharacterized. The transcript has 2 exons. NCBI's taxonomy places the organism in Eukaryota, Metazoa, Chordata, Mammalia, Lagomorpha, Ochotonidae. The record is from RefSeq and is a predicted model, not a curated record.
GGUGUUCCUUUCUGCAGCCGCCAUAGCCGCGUCCCUGGUCGUUCCCCGGGAAGGCCCAGGUGGCUGAGCCAGCGCUGCCCUGUGAGCUCCCUCCCCGCAGGAGCCUCUGGAGGACACCCGACUGGUCAGCAGGCGGGAAGGAAUGUGAGAAACAUCAGAAAUCUGGUUCACUGAUUUACUUCUCAGAUUCCCGCACCUGCAAAGUAUGGAACAGGACUAAAGCUGGGAGUUGAGAACUCAAGGCAGGUUUUUCUGUGAGUAGCAGAACUCCAGUGCCUUAAGCCAUCACCUCUGCGUCCCAAGGUCGGCCGUGUCACAGAAACUGGAAUCAAGAUCAGAACUAGGAGUGGAACCCAGGCACUGCAAUGUAAGAUAGACGUUCCUUACCUACUAGCCUAAACGUUUACUCAGCAUGGUUUUUUUUGGGUUUUGAUUUUUUUUUUGUUUCAUUGGUCUUAGGUUUUUUUGGUUUUUGGGUUUUUUUUUUGGUUGCUGUUGUUAACUAAGAUGAAUUAAUUCGAUUUUGAAUACCUUAAGUGUAAUUUUGCAGGGAUAUUAAAAUGAAUAAAACAGCAUAAGUAGGGUAUGGGAGCGGUAGAAUGAAUGCAUCUUAUUUCAGUACAUCUCACUGAAGUCCUGGCUACUCUGCCCCUUCAAACCAGCUUCCUCCUAAUGCAUCUGAGCAGCGUCUGGUGGUGGCAAAAGUGCUUGCAUAUCUCCCACCCACAUGUGAGAUGCAAGAAGGGAACCUGGAGUCUGUGUGACACAGCCACAGCCGGGAAAGGCAUUCAGAAUUAAACCAGUGAA